Molecule: ribosomal RNA, 252 nt
Filed under: uncultured bacterium
Lineage: Bacteria
Description: partial 16S ribosomal RNA
Rfam family: Bacterial small subunit ribosomal RNA
Source: RNAcentral
UACAGAGGGGGCAAGCGUUGUUCGGAAUUACUGGGCGUAAAGGGCGCGUAGGCGGCCUGUUAAGUCGGACGUGAAAUCCCUCGGCUCAACCGGGGAACUGCGUCCGAUACUGGCGGGCUUGAAUUCGGGAGAGGGAUGUGGAAUUCCAGGUGUAGCGGUGAAUGCGUAGAUAUCUGGAGGAACACCGGUGGCGAAGGCGGCAUCCUGGACCGACAUUGACGCUGAGGCGCGAAAGCCAGGGGAGCAAACAGG